RNA transcript from Cherax quadricarinatus, 8117 nucleotides. It is a transcript of the gene named ubiquitin fusion-degradation 1-like, with no coding region annotated. Lineage: Eukaryota; Metazoa; Arthropoda; Malacostraca; Decapoda; Parastacidae. The record is from RefSeq and is a predicted model, not a curated record.
CUAUUAAAUUUAUUUAGUUACAGUUACACAUAUAUACAAUUAUUUUACAUAGUAACAUAGUAAAUUACCAGGAAUAACAAAUAAAAAGGUGCUGUCUGCUAUCUGCUGUUCCUGCUGUCUGCUGAGGACUGCAGAGUAAUUCUCCUCCUCCAUUACAUAAUGAAACACUAAAGAAGGAAGGCAGGAAGAGUUUACAACCUAAGAAACUAAAAAGAGGAAACUUAAACGAGAAGUUGACCCUUCACGUGAGAGUCAAGAACCACCACCAAAAUGUUCAGUUUCAACAUGUUCGGAGAGCCGCUGCAGCCACGGCCCUUUAACACUCACUAUCGCUGCUACUCCGUCUCCAUGUUCCCCGGGGAUAAACAAGCAGUGGAGAAUGGGGGCAAAAUUAUUAUGCCACCAUCAGCUCUGGAUGUCCUGACACGCCUCAACAUUGUUUACCCUAUGUUGUUUAAGCUAACAAACCAACGAGCAAAUAGACACACACAUUGUGGAGUGCUGGAGUUCGUGGCAGAUGAAGGGAAAGUCUACAUUCCAUAUUGGAUGAUGAGGAAUCUUCUGCUGGACGAAGGAGAUCUUGUGCAUAUUGAAUCUCAGUCGCUCCCUGUUGCUACGUUCUCUAAGUUUGAGCCUCAGAGUGUAGAAUUCCUUGAUAUCACAAAUCCGAAGGCUGUUCUGGAAAAUGCUUUACGAAACUUUGCAUGUUUGACCUUGGAUGAUGUCAUUGCACUCAACUACAAUGACAGAAUAUACGAGAUGCGAGUUCUGGAAGUAAAGCCUGGAAAUGCUGUCAGCAUCAUCGAGUGUGAUAUGAACGUAGAAUUUGCUCCUCCUGUUGGAUAUCAAGAACCAGAGAGAAUGGAUAGCGCAGCAGCUAUGCCCGAAGAUGACAAAGAGGAGAUGAUUCCUGAACCUACUGGAUUUUAUUCCUUCCAAGGUUCAGGAAACAGACUGGAUGGUAAAAAGAAAAACCUACAGUUGCCUCAGGAAGAGCUGUUGAAGAGGCUUCCAAGGCAGCGGGGUAUUCCUGAUUAUGAUUAUGAAGUUGGCUUUAUAAAAUUCUGGAGAAGAGCCCCUAAAACAAGUGACAGUGAGAGCAGAGUCGAGGAACAAGAAGAAUUCGAGUCUUUCCAGGGUAAAGGCACUUCCCUCCGACAAGCUAAAACAAGAAAAUGACCUGUAAUUAUAUAUUAUGGUUAUUUAGUUUCAUUUCUCGACAAACUGACUGUCCCCUAUUGAGCUAAGGUGACCCAAAAAAGAAGAAACACUUUUACCAUCACUCACUCCAUGACUGUCUUGCCAGAGGGGCAAAACUGCGAAUAUCCCCACCCUUCCUUCAGAGUGCAGGCACUGUACUUCCCACCUCCAGAAUGCAAGUCUGGCUAACUGAACUGUGUGAGGAUCACUUUUUUUGGAGAAAAAAUUGACAAGAUGUUUCAAGUUCUUUUUAAAUGUCGCAUCUAUAUUUUUUUCAUUCUAUUCUAGAAAACAUCAACACAAAAUUCAGUGCAUGGUGUGUAUCCAAGACCUUUAUACACUCCCCAUUAAAAAUGAUGCAGCUGACCUCCUUAUUUAGCAGUUUUGUGGGUGAAAAGUGCAAGUCCUUUAUUGUACCAGUAAAGGACUUACUGCAACUAGUUGUUUUUCUGCACUUGUCAGCAUCCCACCUCCAGCUUCCAGUAAGGAUGUUAACUACUGUAUAUGGCCCAUUCAGGUUUAGUGCUUGAUGUUUUAGUGUUAUCAGAGACAUGUUCAGUCACUGAUAUCUGUUAGCUUACUAUUAUUUAAUUUUAUAUAGCAUUCUACAUUAUUGUUACCAUACUGGUUGUAAAAGAAGUGAAUGUUAGUGUGUAGGGGGCUGUAUAGCCCUUGUGGCUUAGCGCUUCUUUUUGAUUAUAAUAAUAAUAGUGUGUAGGGGGAAUUGUGGGAUCAAAAUGUGUAGAAUGUAAUACAAAAUUUGAAUUGUCACAGUUGCUCUUUGCCAAUGACACAGUGCUGUUGGGAGAUAGAAGAGAAGUUUGCUAAGGUUGGUGGAUGAAUUUGGGAGGGUAUGUAAAUGAAUGAAAUUGAAAGUGAAUAUAAGAAAGAGCAAGGUGAUGAGGGUAACAAAAUUUAGGUAAUGAGAGAUUGGAUAUCAGAUUGGAAGGAGGGAGUAUGGAGGAAGUGAAUGUGUUUAGAUAUUUGGGAGUGGACUUGUCAGCAGAUGGGUCUAUGAAAGAUGAGGUGAACCAUAAAAAUGAUGAGGGGGGAAAAAGGUGAGUGGUGCACUGAGGAGUCUGUGGAGACAAAUCAUUAUCCAUGGAGGUAAAAUGGGGAAUGUAUGAGAGUACAGUAUACCUGGAGAGGGUUUCAGGGAUCAACGCCCAUGCAGCUCAGUCUGAGACCAGGCCUCGUGUGGAUCAGGGUCUGAUCAACCAGGCUGUUAGUGCUGUCCGCACGUAAACUGACGUAUGAACCACAGCCCGGCUGGUGAGGUACUGACUUUAGGUGCCUGUCCAGUGCCUUCUUGAAGACAUCCAGGGGUCUAUUGGUAACCCCCUUAUGUAUGCUGGGAGGCAGUUGAACAGUCUUGGGCUCCUGACACUUAUUGUGUUCUCUCUCAGUGUACUCGUGGCACCCCUGCUUUUCAUUGGGGGAAUGUUGUAUCUCCUGCCAAGUCUUUUGCUUUCAUAAGGAGUGAUUUUUGUGUGCAAGUUUGGUACUAAUCCCUCUAGGAUUUUCCAAGUGUAUAUUAUGUAUCUCUCUCAUCUGCAUUACAGGGAAUACAAAUCAAGAGACUUCAACCGUUCCCAGUAAUUUAGGUGCCUUAUUGUACUUAUGUAUGCCGUGAAAGUUUUUCGUACGCUCUCCAGGUGAGCAGUUUUGCCUGCCUUGAAGGGGGCAGUUAGUGUACAUCAGUAUUCCAGCCUAGAGAGAGCAGUUUGAAGAGAAUCAUUAUGGGCUUGGCAUCCUUAGUUUUGAAGGUUCUCAUUAUCCACCCUGUCAUUUUCCUAGCAGAUGCAGUAGAUACAGUCUUGUGGUUUUUGAAGGCGAGAUCAUCUGACAUCACUCCCAGGUCCUUGACAUUACUUUCUUGCUCUAUUGUAAGGUUAGAAUUUGUUGUAUACCCUGAUACAGUUUUAAUUUCCUCAGUUUUUCCUUAUCUGAGUAGUUGAAAUUUCUCCUCAUUGAACUUCAUAUUGUUUUGAGUGACCCAUUUGAAGAUUUGGUUGAUGUUCACUUGGAGUCUUACAGUAUCUUCAAUGGAGGACACUGUCAUGGCAAUUUAGGUGUCAUUCGCAAAGGUAGACACAGAGCUAUGGCUUACAUCUGUCUAUGCCAGAUAUGAGGAUGAGGAAUAGGAUGGGAGUGAGUACUGUGCCUUAUGGAACAGAGCUUUUCACUGUAGCUGCCUCGGACUUUACUCUGUUUACUAUUACUCUUUGUGUUCUGUUCAUCAGGAAGUUAUAGAUCCAUCUACCAACUUUUCCAGUUAUUCUUUUAUCAUGCAUUUUGUGUGCUAUUACACCAUGGUCACACUUGUCGAAGGCUUUUGCAAAGUCUUUGUAUGCUACAUCUGCAUUUUGUUUAUCCUCUAUAGCAUCCAGGACCUUGUCAUAGUGAUCCAAUAGCUGGAACAGGCAGGAGCGGCCUGUUCUAAACCCGUGUUGCUGUGGAUUGUGUAACUGAUGGGUAUCUAGGUGAUUGGCGAUCUUGCUUCUUAGAACCCUUUCAGAGAUUUUUACGAUAUGGGAUGUUAGUGCUAUCAAUCUGUAGUUCUUUUCAAUUGCUUUACUGCCACCUUUGUAGAGUGGGGCUAUGUUUUUAGUGCUUGUGGGGUGACCCCCAUGUCCACUCUCCCUCUCCAUAGAAUGCUGAAAAGCACAUGACAGGGGCUUCUUGCAGUUCUUGAUGAACAUGGAGUUCCAUAAGUCUGGGCCUGGGGCAAAGUGCAUGAGCAUGUCAAUUAUUGCCUUUUCAGAGGCAUGCACUUGCAUAUUUCAAAUCCUACCUUACUAAUAGGUAUCAGUAUGUCACCAUUAAAGACACAGCAUCAUCAUCAUGGCCACUUGAUACUGGAGUUCCGCAGGGAAGUGUCCUUGGUCCCCUGCUCUUCCUCAUUUACAUUAAUGAUCUUCCAAACGUAUCCCAACACCUGAAACCCAUUCUCUUUGCUGACGACACGACUUGCGUCAUCUCCCACCCUAAUCUUGCCACCCUCAACACCAUUGUCAAUGAGGAGCUGCUCAAAAUUCUGACUUGGAUGACAGCCAAUAAACUUACACUUAACACUGGCAAAACCUACCGCAUUAUGUUUGGUAGCAGAGCAGGUGUUGCGCAACUUAACAUUAAGAUCGACAACACUUUAAUUGCCAGACAUAAUGAGGGCAAAUUCCUAGGUCUAUACCUCGACAACAACCUAAAUUUCAGCACCCAUAUCCAACACAUAACAAAAAAAGUAUCUAAAACGGUGGGGAUCCUCUCCAAGAUACGAUAUUACUUGCCGCAAACUGCCCUUCUCACACUAUACCAUUCACUCAUUUAUCCAUACCGCACCUAUGCUAUUUGUGCUUGGGGAUCAACUGCAGCAACACAUCUAAAGCCAAUAAUAACCCAACAAAAAACCGCAGUUAGAAUAAUCGCUAAAUCCCAUCCCUUGCAACACACCCCCCCACUCUUCAUAGAUCUAAACUUACUCCCUGUUCAGAACAUCCACACUUACUACUGUGCAAUCUACAUCUACAGGACCUUAAAUUCCAAUAUUAACCUUGACCUAAAAUGCUUUCUUGAUAGUUGUGACAGGACCCACAGGCAUAACACCAGACACAAACUUCUCUGUGACAUUCCCCGUGUCCGACUAAACCUUUACAAAAAUUCAAUGUGUGUCAAAGGGCCUAAAAUCUGGAACACCCUACCUGAAAACUCUAGAACAGCAGACACAUUCAUCACUUUCAAAACUACAGUUAGAAAACAUCUUAUCUCCUUGAUACAUCCCGUCAACUAACUACGUGUAAACCACCUGGUGGUUCACACUUACACUCACCCAUUGACUAUAAACACAGAAAUACGAAUCUUAAUCUUAAAAUAAUGAAUCCUAACUAGUCAUAAGUUUGCCUAUGAUACUCCAAUAUAGACACUAUGUAUUGUGCCAAAACAAAAGCAUUCGCAUUGCUAAACUAACAAACUAUAAUGUAGUCACUUAGCCUUAAUACCAUAAUCUGUAAUAAUUUAAAGUUUAGAAUUAAUCUAAGUCUGCCCGAAAUACCUAGCCAUGCUAGGUGUCCUAGUGGCCCCCUCUGUAAUUAGUAUUUUAAAACCACACAAUAUUCAAAAUCUGUAAACCCCACAUUGUAAUCCUUAUAGAGAAUAAACUUGAUUGAUUGAUUGAUUAUGGUGUUAGAAUAAUAUCAGAGACUCUUGAGAUGACCAAAUUUUUGGUCUCGUUCAAAAAGAAUUCAUUUGGAUUGUCAACCCUUAGUCUGGGUAAUGGUUCACUAGCACUGGGCCAUAUUGGGACUUUAGUAUCUCACUCAUUUUUUAGCUGUUAUCUGUGUAUGCCUCAACACUUGUAUAGGUGUGAAGCAUGGGUUGUGAAUGUUGCAGUGAGGAAGAGGCUGGAGGCAGUGGAGAUGAUGUGUCUGAGGGCAGUGUGCGAUGUAAAUAUUGUGCAGAGAAUUCAUAGUUUGGAGAUUAGAAGGAAGGGUAGUAUUACUAAAAGUAUUAUUCAGAGAGCUGAGGAGGAGUUGUUGAGAUGGUUCAGACAUUUAAAGAGGAUGGAGCAAAAUAGGAUGACUUAGAGGGUGUAUAAAUUUGUAGUGGAGGGAAGGCAAGGUAGAGGGUUGCCCUAGGAAAGGUUAUAGGAGGGUGGGUAAAGGUUUUGCAUGUGAAGGGCUUGGACAUUCAGUUGGCAGGCACGCAUAAGCAUAGAAGUGGAGGCAAGUGGUUUUUAUGACUUGUUGAGCUGUUGGAAUGUGAGCAGGGUAACAUUUAUGAAGGGAUUCAGGGAAAAUAGUUAACUGACUCUUGGGGGUGGGAAUACUAUAUAUAUAUGCAGUUUGGAGGGGCAUCUGAAGUGUUAUUGACACACCUGUGAUAAAAGUGAUAAUGUUAGUGAUGGUGAAAGUGUUUCUUUUUUUUCAGGUCACUGCCUCGGUGGGAGAUGGCGGUGUUAAAAAAAAAAAAUAGCCAAUUUCUCUUUAGUAACAAUGGGGUUUUUGUUGAUUGCUGUUGUAGAUCCCCAUGCAUGGAUACCAUAAUUGAGGUAAUACUAGAUUAUAGUACAGUUUUGGAAAUUUUCUUAGGUAUGUGCUGGAUGCAUAUGAAAGUGUUGCCAUCAAAUUGUACCUAUACAUGUACCUAUAAAAAAUUCCCGUUUCUUCUUAGUGUUCAGUUGAAUAUUUUUAGCUUUUUCCCAAAUGGAUGUAGGUCUUAACAGUAUUGAGAGUUUGUUGGCUGUCAUCCAGGUAGUCAGCCCUUGCUAUAAUGGACUAUUUGGGGCUGUCCAAAUGUUUUUCAAAUCAGAACAUUAACCCUUUCACUGUCUUGUGUGUAGAUCCAUGUUAUUGAUGCCAGGGUCGCCUGUGUAGAUCUGUUUUGAGCUUGGCUCAGUCAGAUAAGCUGUCAGCUGUAAAUUUUGGUCUAGACAUGAGAGAAUGAGUCUCUGCAGUGAGUGUGCACAGCAUAAAACAAAAAUCCGCCCCAUGUGGUGCAUGAUGGGAAAAGCAAAACUCUGACCUUGUGUUUGGCUUAAAAUAGCAGUUUUGAGUGUUUUCUAGCAUGAUUUUCCUGUUUCUUGAUAAAUAUCAUUUGAUAGAAUGGAAGAUAUGCUGUUGAAAAUAAGACGAUUUUGAUAGGUUUCAAGACGAAGUCUGAAAUUGGGCUCAAAGUGGCAUACUAUCCAACAGGCUUGUGUGAGCAUAUUGGAUUUGAGGGAAUGGGGGCUAGUAAUUUUUAUGACCUGAUAUGCUGUUAAGAGUGUGAGCAAGGUAACCAGGCCUGAGUAGUGGAGGUGGGAAAUAGUGCCUACACCCUGAAGGAGGGGUGAGGGAGUUGAAAUUCAGAAGUCAUAAGAAAUGAGGUGUCAGCAUGCCUCUUGAUGAAAGUAAGUUUUUUUUUUUUUUUGGGGGGGAGGGGGUUACCCUGUCUUGGGAAACAGCUGGCAUGUUAAAAAGACAAGUACCUGUAUGUUUAUUUCAGGGCAGAGAGUACUAAACCCUUAGGGGUCAUACAAUGCCUUUGGAAAUGGGAGCCAUUUGGAGUGUAUCCAAGGAAAGUAGCUCUAAUUCUUUUGUAUCAAGAGCCCUUUACAGGUAUCAAGGCAUGUCUUGAGGGGACUGUAGUUGUACAUCAGUUUGAUAUUUGGAGCUACAUGAAAAUACAUAUUGUAGUUUGCAAAAUAUAAAUUAUAUUAUACAUGGGGAGUGCUAAACUUGUAGGGGGUCAUAUGGUGCCUGAAGGAAUGGAAGACAUUCAGACUUAAUUCAAGGAAUUUGAGCACAGGUCCAGCGCUGUAUAGUCCUUGUGGCUUAGCGCUUCUUUUUUAUUAUAAUAAUUAAUGAGCACAGGUCCAAAUCCUUAGAUCAAGAGCUCCUCACCAGCAUCAAGAAACCUUCCUUGAGGGAUGUAGUUUGCAGGAAAACUAAAAAGACCCUUCCCCUCAAGGAAGGUUCCUUGAUGUUGGUGAGGGGCUCUUGAUUUAGGGAAUUGGAUCUGUGCUCCAGUUCCCCGAAUUAAGCCUGAAUGCCUUCCACAUCCCCCCCCAGGCGCUGUAUAAUCCUCCGGGUUUAGCGCUUCCCCCUUGAUUAUAAUAAUAAUAAUAAAAAGACCCUUGGAUCAAACCUGAAUGUCUCUCAUUCUCCCAGCUGCUGUUAUGACCCCUAUAGAUUUAGCACUCACUUCCCCAAUUAAUGUAAUAUAUGUAAGUUUCUUAAGUCUUCUCACAUGGUACAUGUCACACUAUAAAAUUGGAUAAGAAAACAAGGUUAUUAUUUUUAUUUACUUUUUUUUUUUUUGCAACGUUUGGUAAUUUUUUCAGUUUAGUAUUAUGAACCUUUAAACAUUUAACACAACGUGUAAGCAAUAAGUGUGUUCCAAAUACAGUAAAGUUACAAUGGCUUAAAGCUCUUCCUUAAAAA